RNAcentral lists this ribosomal RNA (433 nucleotides) under uncultured bacterium. RNAcentral describes it as "partial 16S ribosomal RNA". It matches the Rfam family "Bacterial small subunit ribosomal RNA", at positions 29 to 507 of the family's 1533-position model. The record is from RNAcentral.
AACGAACGCUGGCGGCAUGCCUAACACAUGCAAGUCGAACGAGACCUUCGGGUUUGGUGGCGCACGCGGGCGUAACGCGUGGGAACCUGCCCUUAGGUUCGGAAUAACUCCCCGAAAGGGGUCCUAAUACCGGCUAAUGUCCUCGGACCAAAGGUUUAUCGCCCUUGGAUGGGCUGGCGUGGGAUUACCUGGUUGCUAGGGUAAAAGCCUCCCAAGGCGAGGUUCCAUACCGGGUCAGAGAGGAUGAUCAGCCACACUGGGCGGGAGACACGGUCCGGAAUCUUGCAGGAGGGAGGAGUGCGGAAUAUAGGAAAGUGGGCUGAGGGCUGAUGGAGCAAGGACGGGUGAGUGAUGAAGGCUGUGGGGUUGUAAAGCACGUUUACCCGGGAUGAUAAUGACAGUACCGGGAGAAUAAGCACCGGCUAACUCCGUG